UUUGUGAGCGUAUGUCUUAAUUCGGUACUAUAUAUGUUAGUUCCUGAAAAUGCCGAUAACUUAUAAAAGAUCAUAAAACCUUUACAGAUGAGUAACCGUGGUUGCUAGGGCUAUAUGAACAAUGAUGAAUAUGAACACAGCACAAGGAAUUAAAAAACACACAUGUGAAAUUCAAAUAUCAUUAUAAGUAAAAAUCUACUGGUACAUUAUUCGGCUAUCAACCAUUAUACCUAUGUGUAUAAGACAAAUUGUAGUUGUCUUUCUUCGCACACAUAAUUAUAAUAAAUAAUUGUAAGCCUUUCAAUAUACAAAGAUAAUCAUUUUCUAAUAAUCAGUGUUU
Molecule: long non-coding RNA, 340 nt
Filed under: Mytilus galloprovincialis (Mediterranean mussel)
Lineage: Eukaryota; Metazoa; Mollusca; Bivalvia; Mytilida; Mytilidae
Source: RNAcentral